This 269-nucleotide long non-coding RNA is filed under the name Sorghum bicolor (sorghum). RNAcentral's name for it is "long non-coding RNA (SBIC_LNC005017)". Lineage: Eukaryota; Viridiplantae; Streptophyta; Magnoliopsida; Poales; Poaceae. The record is from RNAcentral.
CGAGCUGAGCAGUGUCUUGGUGCAGCAGGGCCAACAAGUCCUCCAACUUGGCCUUAAUCUCUGCCGAUGUGAUUCCGACUGCCUGAGAGGAGCUUGCUUCUUUGCCUUCAUCAUUAGAGAUUUCAAUAGCGAAGGAGAAUAGGCUGUCUAGGGAGUCUUGUUCCUAGAAAAAGAAAAAAAAUAAGUUGCUCAGGAUCAUAUAUUAAUAUUACAAAAUCUAGAAAGUUGGAUAACUUACUUGCUUCAGAGUGAUUUUCUGCCUUUGGCGA